Molecule: non-coding RNA, 77 nt
Organism: Stegodyphus mimosarum
Lineage: Eukaryota; Metazoa; Arthropoda; Arachnida; Araneae; Eresidae
Source: Rfam
GUCUUCGUGGUGUAGUGGAUGAUCAGCACACUGAGCCGGUAUUUCAGAGGUCCGUGGUUCGAUUCCCGGCGAAGGCC